CAUAAGAGCUGCAAUCAACCAGGCACAAUCUUCAAGUUGGAAGUACUGUAGCCAGGAUGCAGACCAAGUCUCUUAGUGUCCGGGGACAUUUGAUACUGCAGAAACUACCUGCACUCCAGUCCUCCUCUUGGGCACUGAGACUGAGGAAUGCAGAUUUCACAGGAGUCAAAAGAUCUUUACACAAACCCCAGGAGUCUCAGAUUUAUUAAAAGACACGGCUGAUAGAACAAGUUAUGCAUCUGCUCCG
This is a long non-coding RNA of Fukomys damarensis (Damara mole-rat), 247 nucleotides long. RefSeq lists it as uncharacterized. The transcript has 4 exons. Lineage: Eukaryota; Metazoa; Chordata; Mammalia; Rodentia; Bathyergidae. The record is from RefSeq and is a predicted model, not a curated record.